Molecule: ribosomal RNA, 489 nt
Filed under: uncultured marine bacterium
Lineage: Bacteria
Description: bacterial SSU rRNA
Rfam family: Bacterial small subunit ribosomal RNA
Source: RNAcentral
AGAGUUUGAUCAUGGCUCAGAUUGAACGCUGGCGGCAGGCCUAACACAUGCAAGUCGAACGGAAACAUGUCUAGCUUGCUAGAUGAUGUCGAGUGGCGGACGGGUGAGUAAUACUUAGGAACAUGCCUUUGGGAGGGGGAUAACUAUUGGAAACGAUAGCUAAUACCGCAUGAAGUCUACGGACCAAAGGGGGGAGCUUGCUCCUCUCGCCCAAAGAGUGGCCUAAGCGAGAUUAGCUUGUUGGUGAGGUAAAGGCUCACCAAGGCGACGAUCUCUAGCUGUUCUGAGAGGAAGAUCAGCCACACUGGGACUGAGACACGGCCCAGACUCCUACCGGGAGGCAGCAGUGGGGAAUAUUGCACAAUGGGGGCAACCCUGAUGCAGCCAUGCCGCCUGUCUGAAGAAGGCCUUCGGGUUGUAAAGCACUUUCAGUUGUGAGGAAAGGGAGUUGGUUAAUACCCAAUUUCUGUGACGUUAGCAACAGAAGAA